UAAGACAUGAUGCAUGAGAGGGUGCUUUGUUGUGACAAAGCUGCCAAUAACUAGUUACCCAUUAGCUGAGGCCUUCUGAAUCAUCCCAAUAUUGUUUCUGCAGAGGAAUGCUCAAGCUUAAUGCAAAAUCUGAUGCAGAUUCACUGCUCUACUUGCUCAGUCAUUUUGAGUGUGACAGCCACACAGUACACAUGCUCACUCAACAGCCUCUACUGCCCCCACUGACUUUGACAGUGAAGUUGUUGUUCACACGUGUGCAUGCCAGUCCACUCUCCUUGGCUCUCAAGUUACAUCAAUGUCACACAAUCCAUUGUUAUUAUAUUAAUAAUGGCUGUACAUUUUUUGGACAGACCUCAUCUUAUAUUGAUGUUCCACUGUCUGCAAAGUCUUAGUAUUGAGAAUAAUCUUAUAACAUAGCAGACACAGUCCCUGCCCUUCUCAAGCUUUUAUAUUGGGGGUACAAGUAUUAAAUUAUUAAAUUGAAAAUAAGUAAUGAAAUCUGAGAUAAAUGUGUUGAUACUUAUGUAGCCUUGUAGAGAAAUAAUAUGCAGGAAGCUAUUCUUAUAUUAAGUACAAAGAACCAGUAGCAGUUAGAUUAAUGAUAGGGCUGGGGAAUGGACUGCAAAGAGGCAGCAUUCCAGGCAGAUAAGCAUAAUGCAGCAGUUAAGAAUGUUACAAAUAAUAGCUCCCCAAGGAUUGUCUUUUGGAGAUGCUAGAAAAAGUAAUGCUAAUUGAAUUGAAGUAUAUUUUUACUGAGAUGCUUGGAACAAAACUCAGAAACUUCUGUUUACCCCACUCUUGCCUUGUCAUCUCACAGUCCAUCUAUCAGCUGGUCCUGUAGCCAACGUCUCCAAAAUACACAUCAUGUUUGACCACUUCCCACCACGUCCUCCACUACUACUGAGUCCAAACCACUUUCACCUCUCACCUGUGCUCUAUCAGUUUUUUCAACAAACACUCCCCUGCUUCCAGCUUUGCAAUCAGAGUGAUCUUGUAAAAAGGCAAGUCAGAUCAUGCAUUGCCACUUUUGAACAUCCCAAUCAAUGAACAUCCAAAUGAUCUCAGAGUAAAUUCCAAACUCCACAUAAAGAUAGUGUGUCUGGCCUCUGUGUCAGUCUUGAACUUCCUGUUGUUAUUUCCUGCAAAAUAUGUAUUAUGCUUUAAUCCAUCUGGUCUGUUUUUCAACUACUUUAGCAUUCAAAACCCAUUUUGGUGUUGGGGACUUGAGUGCUUUGCCUAAACCUUUUUCCCUCAGGUGUUUGCAAGCUUCAUUUUUUUUUUGUCAUCAUUCAGGUUUCUGGACUCAUUCAUGCCUUAGUUCUUUAUCUCCCACCUAAACAUUUUAUCCCCUUUUUAUUUUUAUGAUACUACUUGAAUUGGCAUUACUUGCUUACUUGUUUAC
Molecule: long non-coding RNA, 1402 nt
Organism: Phyllostomus discolor (pale spear-nosed bat)
Lineage: Eukaryota; Metazoa; Chordata; Mammalia; Chiroptera; Phyllostomidae
Exons: 3
Source: RefSeq, a predicted model, not a curated record